UACGUAGGGGGCAAGCGUUGUCCGGAUUCAUUGGGCGUAAAGAGCGUGUAGGCGGCCAGGUAGGUCGGUUGUGAAAACUGGAGGCUCAACCUUCAGAGGUCGACCGAAACCAUCUGGCUAGAGUCCGGGAGAGGAGAGUGGAAUUCCGAGUGUAGAGGUGAAAUUCGUAGAUAUUCGGAAGAAUACCAGUGGCGAAGGCGACUUACUGGACACAUAUUGACGCUGAGGUGCGAAAGCGUGGGGAGCAAACAGG
RNAcentral lists this ribosomal RNA (253 nucleotides) under uncultured bacterium. RNAcentral's name for it is "partial 16S ribosomal RNA". It matches the Rfam family "Bacterial small subunit ribosomal RNA", at positions 524 to 776 of the family's 1533-position model. The record is from RNAcentral.